CUGGCGGCGUGCCAUAUCAUGCACUUCGAGCGAAUGGAUUAAGAGCUUGCUCUUCUGAAGUUAGCGGCGGACGGGUGAGUAACACGUGGGUAACCUGCCCAUAAGACUGGGAUAACUCCGGGAAACCGGGGCUAAUACCGGAUAACAUUUUGAACUGCAUGGUUCGAAAUUGAAAGGCGGCUUCGGCUGUCACUUAUGGAUGGACCCGCGUCGCAUUAGCUAGUUGGUGAGGUAACGGCUCACCAAGGCAACGAUGCGUAGCCGACCUGAGAGGGUGAUCGGCCACACUGGGACUGAGACACGGCCCAGACUCCUACGGGAGGCAGCAGUAGGGAAUCUUCCGCAAUGGACGAAAGUCUGACGGAGCAACGCCGCGUGAGUGAUGAAGGCUUUCGGGUCGUAAAACUCUGUUGUUAGGGAAGAACAAGUGCUAGUUGAAUAAGCUGGCACCUUGACGGUACCUAACCAGAAAGCCACGGCUAACUACGUGCCAGCAGCCGCGGUAAUACGUAGGUGGCAAGCGUUAUCCGGAAUUAUUGGGCGUAAAGCGCGCGCAGGUGGUUUCUUAAGUCUGAUGUGAAAGCCCACGGCUCAACCGUGGAGGGUCAUUGGAAACUGGGAGACUUGAGUGCAGAAGAGGAAAGUGGAAUUCCAUGUGUAGCGGUGAAAUGCGUAGAGAUAUGGAGGGACACCAGUGGCGAAGGCGACUUUCUGGUCUGUACCUGACACUGAGGCGCGAAAGCGGGGGGAGCAAACCGGAUUUGAUACCCGGUUAUUCCACCCGUAAAACAUGAAUGCCUAGGGUUGGAGUGUUUCUCCCCCU
RNAcentral lists this ribosomal RNA (823 nucleotides) under Bacillus sp. Bac108W4. RNAcentral's name for it is "bacterial SSU rRNA". It matches the Rfam family "Bacterial small subunit ribosomal RNA", at positions 36 to 841 of the family's 1533-position model. Lineage: Bacteria; Bacillati; Bacillota; Bacilli; Caryophanales; Bacillaceae. The record is from RNAcentral.